This 205-nucleotide unclassified non-coding RNA is filed under the name Hevea brasiliensis (rubber tree). The record is from RNAcentral. Lineage: Eukaryota; Viridiplantae; Streptophyta; Magnoliopsida; Malpighiales; Euphorbiaceae.
GUCCCUGUAUUUGAAAGAAAGCCAGGUGUAACAUAUCUAAAUUAAUAAGAUUAACAUCUGUCAACAGCAUUACGUAGUUUGUUUUUUUCCAGCACGCCCAUGGGUGGGGAAACCAGAAAGGGAAAUAAUAACAUGACAUGCAAGCAAUUAUAGAAUAUAAAUCAUUCAAAAGUAUUGGAAGUCAUACUUUAUGAAAGGUUUUAUU